RNAcentral lists this unclassified non-coding RNA (1351 nucleotides) under uncultured Neocallimastigales. RNAcentral's name for it is "partial contains internal transcribed spacer 1, 5.8S ribosomal RNA, internal transcribed spacer 2, and large subunit ribosomal RNA". The stretch from base 596 to 1351 matches the Rfam family "Eukaryotic large subunit ribosomal RNA", at positions 1 to 617 of the family's 3401-position model. The record is from RNAcentral. Lineage: Eukaryota; Fungi; Neocallimastigomycota; Neocallimastigomycetes; Neocallimastigales.
AAAAUAAUCCUACCCUUUGUGAAUUUUGUUUGUUUGAAUAAUUUUUUUUUUUUAAAAAAUUAUUGGAGUCUUUCCCUUUAGAGUUUGCUUUUGAGUUUGUAAAAGAAUUCGAAAACAUCUAAAGGGGAUGGUCAAUAAUUUUUUUUGAAAAAAGACAUUUUUUAAAAUUAAACUUUUUGUAUUCAUUUGUCUAAAAAUUAUUUUUAUAAUAUGAAAAGCAACUUUUGACAAUGGAUCUCUUGGUUCUCGCAACGAUGAAGAACGCAGCAAAAUGCGAUAAGUAGUGUGAAUUGCAGAAUACGUGAAUCAUCGAAUCUUUGAACGCAUAUUGCACUUUUUUAGUUUACUAAAAAAGUAUGUCUGUUUGAGUAUCAGUAAAAUAUUCUCAUAAAAAUCAUUGUAUUUUUAUGGUUAUGAGUGCUUUACAACGAUACAAGUUGUUUCACUUUAAAUUUUUUUUUAAUAUUGAAAUUUUCCUAAUUUUAAUAAUUAAAAUUGGAUAAAAUUUUCCCGUCAAAGGAAUAACCUAAACAAUUUUAAACGAUUAAUUUUAGCAAAAUUUUCGAAAAAAAGGAAAAUUUUUAUUAAAAUAACUUGAUCUCAAAUCAGAUAAGAGUACCCGCUGAACUUAAGCAUAUCAAUAAGCGGAGGAAAAGAAACUGACAAGGAUUCCCUUAGUAACGGCGAGUGAAGCGGGAAGAGCUCAAAUUUGAAAUCUUCAAGGUUUUACCUUGACGAAUUGUAGUUUAAAGAAGUGUUUUCUGCUGAAGUUUUGGUAAAAGUUCUUUGGAAUAGGACAUCAUAGAGGGUGAGAAUCCCGUAUUUGACCAUUAUUUUCAGCUUUGUGAUACACUUUCAAAGAGUCGGAUUGUUUGGGAAUGCAGUCCAAAAUGGGUGGUAAAUUUCAUCUAAAGCUAAUAUCGGCGAGAGACCGAUAGCGAACAAGUACCGUGAGGGAAAGAUGAAAGAACUUUGAAAAGAGAGUUAAACAGUACGUGAAAUUGUCAAAAGGGAAGCGUUUGACACCAGUGUUGUUUUCUCGAAAAUCAAUUAAAAAUGGCUCGAUUUUGUAUUGCUGAGACCUUAAAAGCUCACUGUACAUUUUUCGUGUCUUUUUUAAUGCACUUUUCGUUUAACAAGUCAACAUCAGUUUCUUUUGUUGUAAAAGGGUCAUUGGAAGGUGGCUUUCUUUUCGGAGAAAGUGUUUAUAGCCUUUGGCCUCUGCAAUCGGAGAGACUGAGGUCUGCAGCGUAGACUCUUCGGGGUUAGAUACAUUUGUGCUAAGUUAUAGCUUUUUAUAGACAACUUGUUGACUAUAAUUAGUCUUGUAGCUUACUCGCUUAUGCUAUUU